CCCGGAACUAAAGCUGACCCAGGCCAAGGAGCCUCCCGAGGUUCCAGGGCUGCUAAGCACGUUCUACCACCUUCCGCCAGGAUGAUGUCCACCCUUCUGGAAGAGGCGGGUGUGAGAACCGUCUUCACUGACACCAAGAAGCGAGCCAAAGAGGGGUGUGUCUUCGGGAGACCCGGAAUGAAGAGAGCAGGCAGAGAGUUCAAACACCGUCGGUGCAGUUGAGCAGAAGAGAGACUAAGGAAGAACGAAAAGAGGAGAAGGGCUCAGAUGAGACUUACAUUAAAAGAAGAAAUGGAUGAGCUGGCUUCACCACUUU
Molecule: long non-coding RNA, 316 nt
Organism: Hyaena hyaena (striped hyena)
Lineage: Eukaryota; Metazoa; Chordata; Mammalia; Carnivora; Hyaenidae
Exons: 3
Source: RefSeq, a predicted model, not a curated record